GUGCUUACUUCGGCAGCACAUAUACUAAAAUCGGAACGAUACAGAGAUUAGCAUGGCCCCUACGCAAGGAUGACACGCAAAUUCAUGAAGCAUUCCACAUUUAA
Eptesicus fuscus (big brown bat) is the source of this 104-nucleotide small nuclear RNA. Lineage: Eukaryota; Metazoa; Chordata; Mammalia; Chiroptera; Vespertilionidae. The record is from RefSeq and is a predicted model, not a curated record.